ACCAGGAUGGCCAAGUGGUUAAGGUGUUGGACUUAAGAUCCAAAGGAUGUAUGUCUAUGUGGGUUCGAACCCCACUCCUGGUA
RNAcentral lists this transfer RNA (83 nucleotides) under Alligator mississippiensis (American alligator). Its description in RNAcentral is "tRNA-Leu (TAA) (tRNA-Leu-TAA-9-1)". It matches the Rfam family "tRNA". From Rfam's summary of the family: Transfer RNA (tRNA) molecules are approximately 80 nucleotides in length. The record is from Rfam by way of RNAcentral. Lineage: Eukaryota; Metazoa; Chordata; Crocodylia; Alligatoridae.